Molecule: unclassified non-coding RNA, 240 nt
Filed under: Hevea brasiliensis (rubber tree)
Lineage: Eukaryota; Viridiplantae; Streptophyta; Magnoliopsida; Malpighiales; Euphorbiaceae
Source: RNAcentral
GGAACAAAACCCUAAUUCACCUCAACCCCAUAUCAGGUAAUAAAACAAAACCAAAUAGUUUAAGUUCAAUUUUCUUUUCUUCCUCUUUCUCUCUUCUGCUGCAACCAUCAAUUUUCAUGAUCCGUGGGCUGUUUAUUCUCUUCUUUACACAUACCAUUUUGCCCAAAGACAAAGUAAAAGCAAGCCUAAUACUGUCUUCUUCGCAGAUCAGAGCUUUAAAGACAAUACUUGGGUACUUUC